AGUUCUUUGGGAGCACCCUGGGAAACAGUGUGGCUAUGACUUGGAGCUGCUCACCAGUUCCAGUCAUUCUGUGGUUGAGAGCUGCUCCCUAUGGAUGUUAAUUCUUCUCUAUUUUAGAUUUUCCACAGGUGUGGGCCCCAUUAGCUCUGGCCACCUGAGAAAGCCCUCAGGCAAAGAGUCGCAGGUGAAAGCCAGCAGUUAGAGGUUCACAGAAAUGGUGAGUGCUGAACGGAUAUGGGUGGGUAUCAAUGAUGGCUGCUAUAGAGAUCAAGGCAUGAAACGGGACUACAAGGUAUACUCAAGGAAUUGCUGGUUGUCUAGCAUUCUGGGAGUGUAGGGAAUAAGUGUGGAAGUAUCAGGAUCUAAGGGUGUCUAGAUACAUAACAGCCAAAUCAUGAAGGGCCGUGUGAGGAAGACAUGCUAAGGAAGUUGGAACUUAUUUUGCGGGCCACUAAAUAUUUAAAAAAUAGAGUGUCAUAGUAGAAAUUUCAUCUUUGGAAAGAUUAUUUUGCAGUCUAGAGGGUGGGACUUCAGUGAGACUGAAGACAGAGAGGCCAGUUAAGAACUCUAUCAUCUUGGAUACAGCUUUUGUAGUUACGGUAUCACCAUUAGCUGACUGGAUUAAUUAAUAUCUCUAUUGAGCUUCUGCUGUGUUUGCAGCAUUUUGCAGGUAGCUGUGUGAGGUAUAUCAGGUAUUUUCUUUAAUUAAUGAAAAUAAUCUGUUUAAAGUCUAUUCAAUAUAUUGGUGCUAUUGCUGUAUGUUAGUAAGUGUUGGUGUGUUUAAAUUUUACAUGAUGUGUAUAUAUCACAGGUCUUGAGUACGCUAGCUGAUACCUAGUAUCAUUCUCUAAAAAACGACCAAUAGUAUUUUUCUUUUUCCUGAGAGCACAGGAUGAAAUUUAAGCUAAUAAUUUUCUUUUAUACCAAAAAAUUACCUUUAUACAAAUUUUUUAAUACCAAAAGUUCCCAUUCAUUGGGAACUAUAUGUAGGUCCCCAGUGAAUGAAUAUAUUAAUUAUUCACCUUGCCCAUGGACACUAGUCACAUUUUAUUUGCGACCAUUGCCACAUCUCAUAGAA
Molecule: long non-coding RNA, 1078 nt
Filed under: Homo sapiens (human)
Lineage: Eukaryota; Metazoa; Chordata; Mammalia; Primates; Hominidae
Description: long intergenic non-protein coding RNA 534
Source: RNAcentral